RNAcentral lists this ribosomal RNA (253 nucleotides) under uncultured Eubacteriales bacterium. RNAcentral describes it as "uncultured Clostridiales bacterium partial 16S ribosomal RNA". It matches the Rfam family "Bacterial small subunit ribosomal RNA", at positions 524 to 776 of the family's 1533-position model. Lineage: Bacteria; Bacillati; Bacillota; Clostridia; Eubacteriales. The record is from RNAcentral.
UACGUAGGGGGCAAGCGUUAUCCGGAUUUACUGGGUGUAAAGGGAGCGUAGACGGCGAUGCAAGCCAGAUGUGAAAGCCCGGGGCUCAACCCCGGGACUGCAUUUGGAACUGUGUGGCUGGAGUGUCGGAGAGGCAGGCGGAAUUCCUAGUGUAGCGGUGAAAUGCGUAGAUAUUAGGAAGAACACCAGUGGCGAAGGCGGCUUGCUGGGCCUGUACUGACAUUGAGGCACGAAAGCGUGGGGAGCAAACAGG